ACCUAUUGGACCCGGGGGCGGUACCCGGCGCCUCCACCAAAGUAUAAUCUCUGUUGAUCAUAUUUUGGUGGGGGCGAAAUAGGAUCGACAAAGGCGUAAAGAUCGCUCUUUUACUCGGCAUUGUACCACCGUUAUCGGACUAAAUGAGUAGUUGCAAAUGACAACUAUGCGGAAGCACGUCUCGCCGCUUAAGGUGGUGUGAAUGUUUCAAAUCUAGCCUUAAACCGUCGCAGGUUUAAGCGGGGUUCGGAGG
Molecule: transfer-messenger RNA, 253 nt
Filed under: Candidatus Bartonella thailandensis
Lineage: Bacteria; Pseudomonadati; Pseudomonadota; Alphaproteobacteria; Hyphomicrobiales; Bartonellaceae
Description: partial ssrA
Rfam family: Alphaproteobacteria transfer-messenger RNA
About the family: Bacterial tmRNA, also known as 10Sa RNA or SsrA, is named for its dual tRNA and mRNA-like properties. Its role is to liberate the mRNA from a stalled ribosome.
Source: RNAcentral